This 512-nucleotide ribosomal RNA is filed under the name uncultured bacterium. RNAcentral describes it as "partial 16S ribosomal RNA". It matches the Rfam family "Bacterial small subunit ribosomal RNA", at positions 28 to 523 of the family's 1533-position model. The record is from RNAcentral.
GACGAACGCUGGCGGCGUGCCUAAUACAUGCAAGUCGAGCGGACAGAAGGGAGCUUGCUCCCGGAUGUUAGCGGCGGACGGGUGAGUAACACGUGGGUAACCUGCCUGUAAGACUGGGAUAACUCCGGGAAACCGGAGCUAAUACCGGAUAGUUCCUUGAACCGCAUGGUUCAAGGAUGAAAGACGGUUUCGGCUGUCACUUACAGAUGGACCCGCGGCGCAUUAGCUAGUUGGUGGGGUAAUGGCUCACCAAGGCGACGAUGCGUAGCCGACCGGGGAGGGUGAUCGGCCACACUGGGACUGGGACACGGCCCAGACUCCUACGGGAGGCAGCAGUAGGGAAUCUUCCGCAAUGGACGAAAGUCUGACGGAGCAACGCCGCGUGAGUGAUGAAGGUUUUCGGAUCCUAAAGCUCUGUUGUUAGGGAAGAACAAGUGCGAGAGUAACUGCUCGCACCUUGACGGUACCUAACCAGAAAGCCACGGCUAACUACGUGCCAGCCGCCGCCGUAA